RNAcentral lists this ribosomal RNA (460 nucleotides) under uncultured bacterium. RNAcentral describes it as "partial 16S ribosomal RNA". It matches the Rfam family "Bacterial small subunit ribosomal RNA", at positions 338 to 795 of the family's 1533-position model. The record is from RNAcentral.
CCUACGGGAGGCAGCAGUGAGGAAUAUUGGUCAAUGGGCGGAAGCCUGAACCAGCCAAGUCGCGUGAGGGAAUACGGCCCUACGGGUCGUAAACCUCUUUUGCCGGGGAGCAAGGGCGGGGACGUGUCCCGGCCCGGAGAGUACCCGGAGAAAAAGCAUCGGCUAACUCCGUGCCGGCAGCCGCGGUAAUACGGAGGAUGCGAGCGUUAUCCGGAUUUCUUGGGUUUAAGGGGUGCGUAGGCGGGCUUUUAAGUCAGCGGUAAAUAUUCGGGGCUCAACCCCGUCCGGCCGUUGAAACUGGGGGCCUUGAGUGGGCGAGAGGAAGGCGGAAUGCGUGGUGUAGCGGUGAAAUGCAUAGAUAUCACGCAGAACCCCGAUUGCGAAGGCAGCCUUCCGGCGCCCUACUGACGCUGAGGCACGAAAGUGCGGGGAUCGAACAGGAUUAGAUACCCUAGUAGUC